RNAcentral lists this ribosomal RNA (564 nucleotides) under Triticum aestivum (bread wheat). RNAcentral's name for it is "partial small subunit ribosomal RNA". Lineage: Eukaryota; Viridiplantae; Streptophyta; Magnoliopsida; Poales; Poaceae. The record is from RNAcentral.
AUGGCCUCCCUCUCUUCCCUCUUGCUUGCGUCGGUUUUCCUCCUUGCUGGCUCAGCCUUCUUCUACCGCUACGACAUAGGCAGCGGCAACAAGACCGGCGGCACAACCACCACGCACCUUCACUUUUACAUGCACGACGACUACACAGGCCCACGCCCUACCGCGAUGCGCGUCGUGUCCGGGCGGGCCAUAUCCACCGGCGACGACGCCACGGCGCCGCGGCAGUUCGGCGACAUCGUGGUGCUCAACAACGCGCUGACGGUGGGGCCCAGCGGCGGCAGCGCGCGGGUGGGCACGGCGCAGGGCUGGGCCGUCCGCGUGUCGGAGGGCGGCAUCGUAUCGGACCUGACGCUGCACCUGGUCCUCGAGGCCGGCGAGCACCGCGGCAGCUCGCUGACGGCGAGGGGCCGCAUCGACAUGGACGCCACGGUGCGGGAGUCGGUCCUCAUCGGCGGAACCGGACGGUUCCGGUACGCGCGGGGCUACAUGCUCACCAAGAACUACGACUACAGCCUCGCCACCGGCGGCGUCGUCGAGAUCGACGUCUACGUGCAGCACGACUAG